RNAcentral lists this ribosomal RNA (324 nucleotides) under uncultured eukaryote. RNAcentral's name for it is "partial 18S ribosomal RNA". It matches the Rfam family "Eukaryotic small subunit ribosomal RNA", at positions 1470 to 1796 of the family's 1831-position model. The record is from RNAcentral.
CCCUUAGAUAUCCUGGGCUGCACGCGCGCUACACUGAUGUGUCCAGUAAGCACCUAACCUCUUCCGAAAGGAACGGGUAACCUUUGCAAAGCACAUCGUGAUGGGGAUAGAUUAUUGCAAUUAUUAGUCUUGAACGAGGAAUUCCUAGUAAGCACAAGUCAUCAGCUUGUGUUGAUUACGUCCCUGCCCUUUGUACACACCGCCCGUCGCUCCUACCGAUUGAAUGUUCCGGUGAGCUCUUCGGACUGCGCGGUCUGCAGUUUCUGCGUUCCGUGCGGAAAGUUGCGCAAACCUUAACAUUUAGAGGAAGGAGAAGUCGUAACA